Molecule: long non-coding RNA, 2653 nt
Filed under: Sus scrofa (pig)
Lineage: Eukaryota; Metazoa; Chordata; Mammalia; Artiodactyla; Suidae
Description: lncRNA (ENSSSCG00035061126.1)
Source: RNAcentral
GCCCUUGGUUCUGGUUUCUGGCAAUUACUCCCCUGACAAACAGCCUGUGAUCUUGGGCAGGAGCCCAAAUAACUUCUCAAUGGCAAUUUCCUUAUGCAUAAAACAAGGGGAUGGGACGAAAGAAGUGUUGAUGCCAAUUCUAUAAAAUGCUGUAGACAAAGAGAUGGGCAGGAAGCAGGAUUUUAGGUCUCCUGGCCCCGGGGCACUGAAAAGGACUAAAGCAGCAGAAAUUUAGAAUCAGGCCUCCAGAUUCUAAAUCCCAGUCCUCCGGAGUCACUCAGGCCAGAAACGUCCAGAGAAUGCUGGCAACCGCUCCACCUCCUUCCCUUCUGAGCAAGGCCAGUCAGGCUUAGUCAAGAGUUUCUAAGGCCCUUCCUUUCUGGGUCCAGGGUUCCCAGGCCAGUCUGGGCCCGUCUUCAGCAAAACCUGGUCUCCCCUCAGGCCUCUUUUGUCCUCAUCUUUAUUCUUGGGAUAGUUAUCUAAUCCUGCUUUGCCAGAGACAGUUUUGAAAUGCAGAUAGAUAAAAGGCCAGAGGAGUGCCCCCGGAAAGAACUUUCUAGUUUUCUAAAGACUCAAGGAAUGCGCAGUUCCCAGCCCCCUCCUGCCGCCCACUUUCCGAAGCUGGAAGCUGAUCUCGGGAACAAAGACAGCACCGGAGUUCAGCUCCCUCCUCCCCACAGCAGCCAACUCCCCGGGCAGGGAAAAAACCCGGCGAUGACGCAGCAGCUCUGAGCUCCAUCCUGCAGAAGAGAGGGCGUUGUUUUCUAGAGGGUUUGGGACAGCUAAAAAUGUCCUUGGGGAAGGGGCGAAAGCUGCCAGUGGAAUCCUGCAGACUCACUCCUACCUCUCAGAGGGCCGAGGGUCCUUUUAGCAAAAACAAGUUACAGAAACUACAAAAGGCUGUGUCAUCGGCCUUCCCCAAAGUGCUGUGGGGCCUGGGCCACCACCAGGCCUUUCCCUCACAGGCCCUGAACGUCCCUAGGCCAAGGAGCAAGGGAGCGGAAGGAUUCUGCGUAGGUAGAAUCCUCUUUCUGGGGGACAACUCGGCGAAAUUAUCUUGAAAAAGAGGUUUCUCACCCCCGGGCCAAGACCUCAGUGCUGCUAGCUCCCUUCUCUAGUUUAUUCCUCACACAAUGUCCUUGGCCCUGGGCCCUGCAGCCUGUUUGUGGAGCUUCCCGGAAGGCCUGGCUGUGGAGGCCCAGCUGGAGCCGCGGGGGACGUGGGAGGACAGCUUGACAGGAGGCCGGAUCGCAGCUCUCCAGACCGGCUGCGUCAGCUCCUGAGCUCUGCAGGCCCCGCACUGGCUUCACCCAGCGUUUCCAGACCUUCCUUCCCUCCCCCGGCAGCCCGCCCCCCUCUCUAUUUUCUCUGGCAUCCGUGGAGCCCUGCACCAUAUGCUUCCCUGCACCAUCUCGCUUCAGUUCCCCCCGCCGCCGCCUGUGAGAGAGAUGCUGCCAUUAACCCCUUGGACGGAUGAGGACACUGAGGCGUGGGCUGUCUGAGCAUCACUCAUGCCUGGCACACGCUAGGAGCUCAAAAUGUGUCUGUUGAGGAGUUCGCAUUGUGGCUCAGUGGAAAUGAAUCUGACCAGUAUCUAUGAGGAUGCAGGUUCGAUCCUUGGCCCUCACUCAUGGGUUAAGGCUUUGGCGUUGCCGUGAGCUGUGGUGUAGAUCCCAGAUGCGGCUUGGAUCUGGCGUGGAUGUGGCUGUGGUGUAGGCCCGCAGCUACAGCUCUGAUUCAACCCCCUAGCCUGGGAACCUCCAUAUGCCAUGAGUGUGGCCCUAAAAAAAAAAAAGGGUUGAGUAAUGAUUAAGUGAAUAAUUUGGAAUAGCAUCUCUUUUAGAAUUAAAGACCAGGCAGGGGGUGUGCCCCGGUGGCCUGGCAGGAUCUUUAACCCACUCAGGCAAGGGAUUGAACCCACGUCCUCAUGGAUACUGGUCCUGUCAUGCUUUGAUAGGAAUAAAAUGCUUUUCAGCGUGACACGACAUGACCACCCAGCAGGAUGGCGUGAGAUGGCACUGAGCUGUACUGACACAGGGAACUGCUUCCCUCUGCGGAACUUCUAGACAGACUGAUCCACCAGGGCAGGGAAGGGGGUGGCCCAGAAGGCUGCCUUUGGUUUCCAGGGAGCUCCAGCCUCCAGAGCGGAGGGGAGCGAGCCCAGGCUCAGGCCUCCUGUCGCUCAACUGCAGGACUCACUGCGGGAGGCGGGAGGCGUCUCAUUAAUCACCCUCUGGGCCUGUGCGUGGGCCUCCCACACAGCCUGAAGGAAUCCCAUCCACAGUCUGGGAUCCCUGAUCGGUUCAGUACCCUCUUGAGGUCCCAGGCAGAUGUUUGGGUGAGCCCUGCAUACCCAGCAUGGUGCCCAUGAAACACAGCUCCUCAUAGGAGUUUCCUUUUUGGCUCAGUGGUUUACGAACCCGACUAGUAUCCAUGAGGAGGAGAGGUUGAUCCCUGGCCUUGAUCAGUGGGUUAAGGAUCCGGCCUUGCAAUGAGCUGUGGUGUAGGCCAGAGAUGCGGCUCAGAUCUGGUGGUGUUGUGGUUGUGGUGUAGUCUGGCAGCUGCAGCUCUGAUUCGAUCUCUAGCCUGGGAGCCUCCCUCUGCUGUGGUAUGUCCCUUAAAAGACAAAAGACAAAAAAAAAAAAAAAAAAAA